This 1112-nucleotide long non-coding RNA is filed under the name Homo sapiens (human). RNAcentral describes it as "long non-coding RNA NONHSAT198573.1". The record is from RNAcentral. Lineage: Eukaryota; Metazoa; Chordata; Mammalia; Primates; Hominidae.
CAACAAGUAUGUUGAUUACUCAAGGAUUAAUUAGUAAAGGAAUACUUUCAAGUCAUCCCAAAUAUGGUUCCAUCCCUAAACUUAUACUUGCUUGUAUCAUGGGAUACUUUGCUGGAAAACUUUCUUAUGUGAAAACUUGCCAAGAGAAAUUCAAGAAACUUGAAAAUUCCCCCCUUGGAGAAGCUUUACGAUCAGGACAAGCACGACGAUCUUCACCACCUGGGCACUAUUAUCAAAAGUCAAAAUAUGACUCAAGUGUGAGUGGUCAAUCAUCUUUUGUGACAUCCCCAGCAGCAGACAACAUAGAAAUGCUUCCUCAUUAUGAGCCAAUUCCAUUCAGUUCUUCUAUGAAUGAAUCUGCUCCCACUGGUAUUACUGAUCAUAUUGUCCAAGGUAGAAACUUCUCUUGAAAUGAAUUUCAACAUUUUAUGGUCCAACGACCUGAUCCCAACCUUGAAGAAAGUCCUAAAAGAAAAAAUAUUACAUAUGAGGAAUUAAGGAAUAAGAACAGAGAGUCAUAUGAAGUAUCUUUAACACAAAAGACUGACCCCUCAGUCAGGCCUAUGCAUGAAAGAGUGCCAAAAAAAGAAGUCAAAGUAAACAAGUAUGGAGAUACUUGGGAUGAGUGAAAAAUUACAUCAUUGGACAUGAAGGAGUUUCAACAUCCAGCUUCAUCUAGGUGGUCAUGAUUACCUGCAUGCUUUGAGCUCAGCAGCAGUCUUCAUAAACACAUUUAAAACAAGAUCCUGGGUUUUUGUGGUUUGACUUCUAUGGUGUUUUAAAAAAACACAGAUUUUUAGUGUUAAUAUUGUGUAAAUGUACUCACCUUAGGGAUUCAUUUGAAUGAUGGUAUUAUACCAUGAUUGUAUACAGUUUGUGAAAUUGUUGCAAGGGCAAAGAUAACUCUUAAAAAACCGUCGAGAUUACAAUGCUCUAGAAUCAGCAUAUAAGAAAAUAAAUGAUAUCUGCAUGUUGAAUUGGGGUGGAUGGGGGGAGCAAGCAUAAUUUUUAAGUGUGAAGCUUUGCAUCAAGAAAUUAUUAAAAAGCUUUUUUUCUCCAGUAUUUUCUGUAUUAUCUUAAUGUUUAUGGCAAAUAAAAUGUAAAGGAACAUG